Molecule: ribosomal RNA, 397 nt
Filed under: uncultured bacterium
Lineage: Bacteria
Description: partial 16S ribosomal RNA
Rfam family: Bacterial small subunit ribosomal RNA
Source: RNAcentral
AUACGUAGGUGACAAGCGUUAUCCGGAUUUACUGGGCGUAAAGGGCGUGUAGGCGGUCUUGCAAGUCAGAAGUGAAAUUCCUGAGCUCAACUCGGGCGCUGCUUCUGAAACUGCAGGACUUGAGUGCUGGAGGGGAUAGCGGAAUUCCUAGUGGAGCGGUAAAAUGCGCAGAUAUUAGGAAGAACACCGGGGGCGAAGGCGGCAAUCUGGACAGUAACUGACGCUGAGGCGCGAAAGCUGGGGGAGCAAACAGGAUUAGAUACCCUGGUAGUCCACGCUGUAAACGAUGGAUACUAGGUGUAGUGGGUAUCGACUCCCUCUGUGCAGCAGUUAACACAAUAAGUAUUCCGCCUGGGGAGUACGGCCGCAAGGUUGAAACUCAAAGGAAUUGACGGGG